This 393-nucleotide ribosomal RNA is filed under the name uncultured bacterium. RNAcentral's name for it is "partial 16S ribosomal RNA". It matches the Rfam family "Bacterial small subunit ribosomal RNA", at positions 523 to 918 of the family's 1533-position model. The record is from RNAcentral.
AUACGGAGGAUGCGAGCGUUAUCCGGAUUUAUUGGGUUUAAAGGGAGCGUAGGUGGGAUAUUAAGUCAGCUGUGAAAGUUUGGGGCUCAACCUUAAAAUUGCAGUUGAUACUGGUUUCCUUGAGCACGGUACAGGUGGGCGGAAUUCGAGGUGUAGCGGUGAAAUGCUUAGAUAUCACGAAGAACUCCGAUCGCGAAGGCAGCUCACCGGGCCGGAACUGACACUGAUGCUCGAAAGUGCGGGUAUCAAACAGGAUUAGAUACCCUGGUAGUCCGCACAGUAAACGAUGAAUACUCGCUGUUUGCGAUACACUGUAAGCGGCCAAGCGAAAGCGUUAAGUAUUCCACCUGGGGAGUACGCCGGCAACGGUGAAACUCAAAGGAAUUGGCGGGG